AGUGCCAACAAUUAGGAAUUGUUUCCCCUUGCUUGCUGCAUCGAAAACUAAAUCACAAGCUUCUGAUAAAAAGCGAGCUGUUUUGGAACUGAGGCCGAGGCGGCUACGGCAGCAUGAACUACUAAGUUAUCUCUCUUUCUUCUAUAUCUGCCACCACAGUAUGUGAAAGAACCAAAAAAGAAACAAGAUUUGAACAGAAGAUACUCCACAAUCAAUCAUCACAAGUAAAAUCUAGACAGAGGACAUGAAUGCAUAUGCAUAAAUGAAACUUCAAUGGCCACAGACCUUAGCAAGUCAGCAAUGGAUGCAACUUUAUCACUUUCAUGCGCUACAAACUGACGAAUAUUUGGCAAUCGAGCCAUCAAACCGUCAUCAACAAUCAUCAAACCAGCAGGUGCAGCAUGAUCCACAGUCGUUGCUGUAUCGUCGACCGAUACCACUGUG
Molecule: long non-coding RNA, 444 nt
Organism: Arachis stenosperma
Lineage: Eukaryota; Viridiplantae; Streptophyta; Magnoliopsida; Fabales; Fabaceae
Exons: 3
Source: RefSeq, a predicted model, not a curated record